This 433-nucleotide ribosomal RNA is filed under the name uncultured microorganism. Its description in RNAcentral is "bacterial SSU rRNA". It matches the Rfam family "Archaeal small subunit ribosomal RNA", at positions 330 to 762 of the family's 1478-position model. The record is from RNAcentral.
GCGCACCAGGCGCGAAACCUCCGCAAUACACGAAAGUGUGACGGGGCCAUCCCGAGUGCCGUCCGCUGAGGACGGCUUUUCCCCAGUGUACACAGCUGGGGGAAUAAGGAGAGGGCAAGCCUGGUGUCAGCCGCCGCGGUAAUACCAGCUCUCCGAGUGGUGGGGACGCUUAUUGGGCCUAAAGCAUCCGUAGCCGGCUGGGCAAGUCCUCCGUUAAAUCCAACGAUUCAAUCGUUGGGCUGCGGGGGAUACUGUCCAGCUUGGGGGCGGGAGAGGCCGACGGUAUUCCCGGGGUAGGGGUGAAAUCCUAUAAUCCCGGGAGGACCACCAGUGGCGAAGGCUGUCGGCUAGAACGCGCCCGACGGUGAGGGAUGAAAGCUGGGGGAGCGAACCGGAUUAGGAUACCCGCGUAGUCCCUGGACUGCCAAGGCAC